UGGGGAAUAUUGCACAAUGGGGGAAACCCUGAUGCAGCAACGCCGCGUGAAGGAUGAAGGUUUUCGGAUUGUAAACUUCUUUUAUUCGGGACGAAGAAAGUGACGGUACCGAAUGAAUAAGCCACGGCUAACUACGUGCCAGCAGCCGCGGUAAUACGUAGGUGGCGAGCGUUAUCCGGAUUUACUGGGUGUAAAGGGCGAGUAGGCGGGAUUGCAAGUCAGAUGUGAAAACUAUGGGCUCAACCCAUAGACUGCAUUUGAAACUGUUUUUCUUGAGUACUGGAGAGGCAGACGGAAUUCCUAGUGUAGCGGUGAAAUGCGUAGAUAUUAGGAGGAACACCAGUGGCGAAGGCGGUCUGCUGGACAGCAACUGACGCUGAGGCGCGAAAGCGUGGGGAGCAAACAGGAUUAGAUACCC
RNAcentral lists this ribosomal RNA (418 nucleotides) under uncultured bacterium. Its description in RNAcentral is "bacterial SSU rRNA". It matches the Rfam family "Bacterial small subunit ribosomal RNA", at positions 355 to 787 of the family's 1533-position model. The record is from RNAcentral.